UUUCUUUCCCUAUAGCUGGUACUUUUUCAGGCACAUAGUUGUAUUCUGUAAAACAAGUGAUUCCAGGUCUCGGGGACUGAAGGAGCUCUGCCCUUUCUUAGACUUUACAUGGAUGAGAAGCCCAGUCAGUGCCUCACAGGCCACUUUUGGUCCACAGAACUGGUGGUGUAGGAUGAACAGAGAAUCAGUUAAGGUGCUUAGUGAGGAUGCUCAUGAGAGCCCCGGAAAGAUGUUGGUAGAUGCAGGCAGCAGGACUGUGGCCAUUGAAGUGAACCACGCUGGUAAGGAGUGUGCAGCAACUCGGCUGCGAUGGGUGCUGCAGAGUGUCAGGCCCAUACCCGGCCUUCUUUGGCAGUGAACACACAAGAGAGA
Molecule: non-coding RNA, 372 nt
Filed under: Ailuropoda melanoleuca (giant panda)
Lineage: Eukaryota; Metazoa; Chordata; Mammalia; Carnivora; Ursidae
Description: Eukaryotic large subunit ribosomal RNA
Rfam family: Eukaryotic large subunit ribosomal RNA
Source: Rfam by way of RNAcentral